UUGGCGCCGUGUGCUCGUCAUCUUGGUGCCGGCGAGCCGCGGCCGCUUGCUCCUCGCCGUCGCCAUCUCGUCCCAAACGAUUUCACCGUGCCGAGCCACAGCGGGAGAAGCCAGAAAUGACCUACGUACGUGCACCAUCAAUGGAAUCGAAACGAUCGAUCUUAUGGUCUGAACGAUAUGCAUGGCCAGCUAGCAGCAGCGCGCGUGAGGUCGUGUGGUACUACCUCUCUCUCAGUUUACAGGGCGUGGGCGUACCUCUAGGUCGUCAAUUUGAUCAACCUAAUACAAGUCAUAUAUUACAAAAAAUAUACCAACAUAAACUUUGGAGUUUUUACUUUCAAAAGGUAUAAUUUUUGUGUUAUAUAGUUUAUAUUAGGAUGAUAAAAUUGACAACCUAGGUAUACGUGCAUGACUUGUAAACUGAAACGGAGGUAGUAGUACUUACGUGUUUAAUUACUACGGCUUGUUUUAAUUGUAAUUUUUUUUUGCGAUGAAUGUUUCAAUUGUAAUUACUGAGUAAUAAUAGUGGUAGUAGUAGUAGGCAGUAAGAUCAUGUAUUC
Molecule: long non-coding RNA, 560 nt
Organism: Triticum dicoccoides
Lineage: Eukaryota; Viridiplantae; Streptophyta; Magnoliopsida; Poales; Poaceae
Exons: 2
Source: RefSeq, a predicted model, not a curated record